GGACCGCCAAGACGUGUCCAGUCUGCCCUUUGCUGGGAAACUGCAUGGAGAAAACCUGUCCUCCGGCCCAGGACUCCUGCUGGCUUAGCCAGUUGCAGCUGGCAAAUGGGACUAUCAUCAAGAAUGGGUCCUGCGUGGCCCCUGGGGACUGUCAAGAAGAUGUCUACUCCUUGACCUACUGUCCUGGCUUGAGUCUCUGGAUCCACACAGCCUGUUGUGAAGACAACUGCAGCAGUGUUACCCCACAAGAAGCAAGACCCAAAGCCCAGCCCAACGGGGUGCAGUGCCACCACUGUCCCAGGAAUAAGCUGGGCCUGUGUGACUCCCUUUCGGUCAUGAACUGCACUGGAAACCAGACGGUGUGCUUCACCCUCAGUGGGACAUGGCAUGGAGGUAAGGGUUCCCUUCAGGAGGCCAGCUGCCUGGCCGGCCUCCACGCUGUCUGCACAAAUCAGUGCGGAGGGUCAUUUGCACGUGUGUUCCGGUUAUUUAUUGCUACGUAA
This 503-nucleotide long non-coding RNA is filed under the name Capra hircus (goat). Its description in RNAcentral is "lncRNA (ENSCHIG00010020523.1)". Lineage: Eukaryota; Metazoa; Chordata; Mammalia; Artiodactyla; Bovidae. The record is from RNAcentral.